This 492-nucleotide ribosomal RNA is filed under the name uncultured bacterium. RNAcentral describes it as "partial 16S ribosomal RNA". It matches the Rfam family "Bacterial small subunit ribosomal RNA", at positions 29 to 507 of the family's 1533-position model. The record is from RNAcentral.
AGUGAACGCUGGCGGUAGGCCUAACACAUGCAAGUCGAACGGCAGCACAGUAAGAGCUUGCUCUUACGGGUGGCGAGUGGCGGACGGGUGAGGAAUACAUCGGAAUCUACUUUUUCGUGGGGGAUAACGUAGGGAAACUUACGCUAAUACCGCAUACGACCUACGGGUGAAAGCAGGGGAUCUUCGGACCUUGCGCGAUUGAAUGAGCCGAUGUCGGAUUAGCUAGUUGGCGGGGUAAAGGCCCACCAAGGCGACGAUCCGUAGCUGGUCUGAGAGGAUGAUCAGCCACACUGGAACUGAGACACGGUCCAGACUCCUACGGGAGGCAGCAGUCGGGAAUAUUGGACAAUGGGCGCAAGCCUGAUCCAGCCAUACUGCGUGGGUGAAGAAGACCUUCGGGUUGUAAAGCCCUUUUGUUGGGAAAGAAAAGCAGCAGGUUAAUACGCCGCUGUUCUGACGGUACCCAAAAAAUAAGCACCGGCUAACUUCGUG